GUCCCUAUAGCUCAACGGAUAGAGCACCUCUCUUCUAAAGAGGAAAUGAAGGUUCGAUUCCUUCUAGGGACG
Molecule: transfer RNA, 72 nt
Filed under: Candidatus Gottesmanbacteria bacterium RIFCSPLOWO2_01_FULL_49_10
Lineage: Bacteria; Candidatus Gottesmaniibacteriota
Description: tRNA-Arg
Rfam family: tRNA
About the family: Transfer RNA (tRNA) molecules are approximately 80 nucleotides in length. Their secondary structure includes four short double-helical elements and three loops (D, anti-codon, and T loops).
Source: RNAcentral